Molecule: ribosomal RNA, 235 nt
Filed under: Ophiostoma floccosum
Lineage: Eukaryota; Fungi; Ascomycota; Sordariomycetes; Ophiostomatales; Ophiostomataceae
Description: partial 28S ribosomal RNA
Rfam family: Eukaryotic large subunit ribosomal RNA
Source: RNAcentral
UUGACCUCGGAUCAGGUAGGACUACCCGCUGAACUUAAGCAUAUCAAUAAGCGGAGGAAAAGAAACCAACAGGGAUUGCCCCAGUAACGGCGAGUGAAGCGGCAACAGCUCAAAUUUGAAAUCUGGCCUUCGGGUCCGAGUUGUAAUUUGGAGAGGAUGCUUCUGGCGCGGCGCCGUCCGAGUUCCUUGGAACAGGACGCCAUAGAGGGUGAGAGCCCCGUACGGGCGGCCGCCU